UGGGGAAUAUUGGACAAUGGGCGCAAGCCUGAUCCAGCCAUGCCGCGUGAGUGAUGAAGGCCCUAGGGUUGUAAAGCUCUUUCAACGGUGAAGAUAAUGACGGUAGCAGGUAAAGAAACCCCGGCUAACUCCGUGCCAGCAGCCGCGGUAAUACGGAGGGGGUUAGCGUUGUUCGGAAUUACUGGGCGUAAAGCGCACGUAGGCGGACCAGAAAGUUGGGGGUGAAAUCCCGGGGGCUCAACCCCGGAACUGCCUCCAAAACUAUUGGUCUAGAGUUCGAGAGAGGUGAGUGGAAUUCCAAGUGUAGAGGUGAAAUUCGUAGAUAUUUGGAGGAACACCAGUGGCGAAGGCGGCUCACUGGCUCGAUACUGACGCUGAGGUGCGAAAGUGUGGGGAGCAAACAGGAUUAGAUACCCUGGUAGUCCACACCGUAAAACGAUGAAUGCCAGUCGUCGGGUAGCAUGCUAUUCGGUGACACACCU
RNAcentral lists this ribosomal RNA (482 nucleotides) under uncultured bacterium. RNAcentral's name for it is "bacterial SSU rRNA". It matches the Rfam family "Bacterial small subunit ribosomal RNA", at positions 355 to 853 of the family's 1533-position model. The record is from RNAcentral.